UCCCUGGUGGCUCAGUAGUAAAGAAUCUGCCUGCCAGUGCAGGAGACACAGGUUCAAUCCCUGGUCUGGGAA
Molecule: transfer RNA, 72 nt
Filed under: Ovis aries (sheep)
Lineage: Eukaryota; Metazoa; Chordata; Mammalia; Artiodactyla; Bovidae
Rfam family: tRNA
About the family: Transfer RNA (tRNA) molecules are approximately 80 nucleotides in length.
Source: Rfam by way of RNAcentral